RNAcentral lists this transfer RNA (72 nucleotides) under Schistosoma japonicum. RNAcentral describes it as "tRNA-OTHER". Lineage: Eukaryota; Metazoa; Platyhelminthes; Trematoda; Strigeidida; Schistosomatidae. The record is from RNAcentral.
GACUCAGUGAUUCAAUGGUAAAGCGUUUGCCACGAAGCCAGAAGGUUGUGGGUUUGAUCCCCGAUGGAGUCG